CUUUCCUACUUGGCGCAGCAGUGGGGAAUAUUGGGCAAUGGGCGCAAGCCUGACCCAGCAACGCCGCGUGAAGGAAGAAGGCUUUCGGGUUGUAAACUUCUUUUAUCAGGGACGAAGCAAGUGACGGUACCUGAUGAAUAAGCCACGGCUAACUACGUGCCAGCAGCCGCGGUAAUACGUAGGUGGCAAGCGUUAUCCGGAUUUACUGGGUGUAAAGGGCGUGUAGGCGGGAGUGCAAGUCAGAUGUGAAAACUAUGGGCUCAACCCAUAGCCUGCAUUUGAAACU
RNAcentral lists this ribosomal RNA (286 nucleotides) under uncultured bacterium. RNAcentral's name for it is "partial 16S ribosomal RNA". It matches the Rfam family "Bacterial small subunit ribosomal RNA", at positions 334 to 634 of the family's 1533-position model. The record is from RNAcentral.